This 271-nucleotide ribosomal RNA is filed under the name Escherichia coli. RNAcentral describes it as "partial 23S ribosomal RNA". It matches the Rfam family "Bacterial large subunit ribosomal RNA", at positions 2672 to 2925 of the family's 2925-position model. The record is from RNAcentral. RNAcentral also lists the same sequence under 1 other name. Lineage: Bacteria; Pseudomonadati; Pseudomonadota; Gammaproteobacteria; Enterobacterales; Enterobacteriaceae.
CUGCUCCUAGUACGAGAGGACCGGAGUGGACGCAUCACUGGUGUUCGGGUUGUCAUGCCAAUGGCACUGCCCGGUAGCUAAAUGCGGAAGAGAUAAGUGCUGAAAGCAUCUAAGCACGAAACUUGCCCCGAGAUGAGUUCUCCCUGAGACUUAGAGCCUCCUGAAGGAACGUUGAAGACGACGACGUUGAUAGGCCGGGUGUGUAAGCGCAGCGAUGCGUUGAGCUAACCGGUACUAAUGAACCGUGAGGCUUAACCUUACAACGCCGAAG